This is a Y RNA of Callithrix jacchus (white-tufted-ear marmoset), 102 nucleotides long. It matches the Rfam family "Y RNA". From Rfam's summary of the family: Y RNAs are components of the Ro ribonucleoprotein particle (Ro RNP), in association with Ro60 and La proteins. Lineage: Eukaryota; Metazoa; Chordata; Mammalia; Primates; Cebidae. The record is from Ensembl.
GGCUGGUCUGAGUGCAGUUGUGUUUACAACUAAUUGAUCACAACCAGUUACAGAUUUCUUUGUUCCUUCUCCACUCCCACUGCUUCACUUGACUAGCCUUUU